AGGACGAACGCUGGCGGCGUGCUUAACACAUGCAAGUCGAGCGGUAAGGCCUUUCGGGGUACACGAGCGGCGAACGGGUGAGUAACACGUGGGUGAUCUGCCCUGCACUUCGGGAUAAGCCUGGGAAACUGGGUCUAAUACCGGAUAUGACCUCCUAUCGCAUGGUGGGUGGUGGAAAGAUUUAUCGGUGCAGGAUGGGCCCGCGGCCUAUCAGCUUGUUGGUGGGGUAAUGGCCUACCAAGGCGACGACGGGUAGCCGACCUGAGAGGGUGACCGGCCACACUGGGACUGAGACACGGCCCAGACUCCUACGGGAGGCAGCAGUGGGAAUAUGCACAAUGGGCGAAAGCCUGAUGCAGCGACGCCGCGUGAGGAUGACGGCUUCGGGUUGUAACCUCUUUCAGCAGGACGAAGCGCAAGUGACGGUACCUGCAGAAGAAGCACCGGCUAACUACGUGCCAGCAAGCCGACGGU
This 474-nucleotide ribosomal RNA is filed under the name uncultured soil bacterium. RNAcentral describes it as "bacterial SSU rRNA". It matches the Rfam family "Bacterial small subunit ribosomal RNA", at positions 26 to 521 of the family's 1533-position model. The record is from RNAcentral.